This 586-nucleotide long non-coding RNA is filed under the name Lathyrus oleraceus (garden pea). Its description in RNAcentral is "Pisum sativum (pea) long non-coding RNA (PSAT_LNC031623)". The record is from RNAcentral. Lineage: Eukaryota; Viridiplantae; Streptophyta; Magnoliopsida; Fabales; Fabaceae.
GUUGGAGUGUUUGGUAGAGAUAUGGUUGUUGAAGGUUUCAGUUUUGUGAGGUUUGGGUUUCUUGGCUAUGGUAGGAGGAUGGGCGGUUGGUGUUAAAUGAUCGUUGAGUGUUCUAGCUAAGGCGGCUUUGAUAGGGUGAUGUGUUGGGUGCGAAGUGAUGUUGGGUCUCUGGUUGAUGAUCUAUUUGUUGGUGGUGGUACGGAGUAUGCUCUUGGUAUUGUGGUUGGGUGUAUGGCAUGUUAGGGUUGUAUGUUUAUGGAACGAAAAGUUUGACGAAUAUGGGGUUGUGUGUAGCCGGUCUGACAAUGUUGUUAGGGGUUAGAUGUUGAUGCGUCUGGUGUGUAAGUUUGUUGGAGUGGGUCGUAUAGGUACAUAUCCUUAGCGAUGAACUCAAAACCAACUGAUCUGUACCAAACCAUAUAACUACAACUUGGUUUUUCUUCAUUUGGCAUCACUGCGUCAGUUAAGACAUGGUCAUGGCGGUGCUUCCAUUUGCGACACUCAAAUCUUAUAAAGCUUUGCCAUGGAUUGAAGUUCCAUUAAUCGUUAACUUUGUGCAGAUUCCAUUCUCCUAGGUUUGUUGGGG